AAAACCGAAAGGUGAGGUAUAUGGGCUGACGCCUGCCCGGUGCUGGAAGGUUAAGGGGAGAGGUUAGCGCAAGCGAAGCUUUGAACUUAAGCCCCAGUAAACGGCGGCCGUAACUAUAACGGUCCUAAGGUAGCGAAAUUCCUUGUCGGGUAAGUUCCGACCCGCACGAAAGGCGUAAUGAUUUGAGCGCUGUCUCGACAAUGCACCCGGUGAAAUUGAAGUACCAGUGAAGAUGCUGGUUACCUGCGCCAGGACGGAAAGACCCCAUGGAGCUUUACUCCAGUCUGGUACUGGGACUCGGUAUUGCAUGUACAGGAUAGGUGGGAGGCUAGGAGAUGGUAACGCCAGUUGCCAUGGAGCCGCUGUUGGGAUACCACCCUUGCAGUAUUGGGUUUCUAACCAGCCGCCGUGACCCGGCGGUGGGACAAUGCCAGACGGGGAGUUUGACUGGGGCGGUCGCCUCCGAAAGGGUAUCGGAGGCGCUCAAAGGUUCCCUCAGAAUGGACGGAAACCAUUCGAAGAGUGCAAAGGCAGAAGGGAGCUUGACUGCGACACCGACGGGUGGAGCAGGUACGAAAGUAGGACUUAGUGAUCCGGUGGUAUGAAAGUGGGAUUGCCAUCGCUCAACGGAUAAAAGCUACCCUGGGGAUAACAGGCUUAUCACUCCCAAGAGUUCACAUCGACGGAGUGGUUUGGCACCUCGAUGUCGGCUCAUCGCAUCCUGGAGCUGUAGCAGGUUCCAAGGGUUGGGCUGUUCGCCCAUUAAAGCGGUACGCGAGCUGGGUUCAGAACGUCGUGAGACAGUUCGGUCCCUAUCCGGCGCAGGCGGAGGAAAUUUGAUAGGAGCUGUCCUUAGUACGAGAGGACCGGGAUGGACGGACCGCUGGUGUAUCUGUUGUACUGCCAAGUGCAUAGCAGAGUAGCCAAGUCUGGAAGGGAUAAACGCUGAAGGCAUCUAAGCGUGAAGCCCCCCUAAAGAUAAGAUUUCCCAUACCGAAAGGUAGUAAGACCCCUUGAAGACGACGAGGUAGAUAGGGCAGAGGUGGAAGUACGGUAACGUAUGGAGCUGACUGUUACUAAUCGGUCGAGGCUUUAACCAA
This 1100-nucleotide ribosomal RNA is filed under the name human gut metagenome. Its description in RNAcentral is "bacterial LSU rRNA". It matches the Rfam family "Bacterial large subunit ribosomal RNA", at positions 1827 to 2925 of the family's 2925-position model. The record is from RNAcentral.